Molecule: ribosomal RNA, 584 nt
Filed under: Escherichia coli
Lineage: Bacteria; Pseudomonadati; Pseudomonadota; Gammaproteobacteria; Enterobacterales; Enterobacteriaceae
Description: partial 23S ribosomal RNA
Rfam family: Bacterial large subunit ribosomal RNA
Source: RNAcentral
ACAGUGUCUGGUGGGUAGUUUGACUGGGGCGGUCUCCUCCUAAAGAGUAACGGAGGAGCACGAAGGUUGGCUAAUCCUGGUCGGACAUCAGGAGGUUAGUGCAAUGGCAUAAGCCAGCUUGACUGCGAGCGUGACGGCGCGAGCAGGUGCGAAAGCAGGUCAUAGUGAUCCGGUGGUUCUGAAUGGAAGGGCCAUCGCUCAACGGAUAAAAGGUACUCCGGGGAUAACAGGCUGAUACCGCCCAAGAGUUCAUAUCGACGGCGGUGUUUGGCACCUCGAUGUCGGCUCAUCACAUCCUGGGGCUGAAGUAGGUCCCAAGGGUAUGGCUGUUCGCCAUUUAAAGUGGUACGCGAGCUGGGUUUAGAACGUCGUGAGACAGUUCGGUCCCUAUCUGCCGUGGGCGCUGGAGAACUGAGGGGGGCUGCUCCUAGUACGAGAGGACCGGAGUGGACGCAUCACUGGUGUUCGGGUUGUCAUGCCAAUGGCAUUGCCCGGUAGCUAAAUGCGGAAGAGAUAAGUGCUGAAAGCAUCUAAGCACGAAACUUGCCCCGAGAUGAGUUCUCCCUGACCCUUUAAGGGUCCUG